Lagenorhynchus albirostris (white-beaked dolphin) is the source of this 3715-nucleotide long non-coding RNA. RefSeq lists it as uncharacterized. NCBI's taxonomy places the organism in Eukaryota, Metazoa, Chordata, Mammalia, Artiodactyla, Delphinidae. The record is from RefSeq and is a predicted model, not a curated record. The transcript is spliced from 3 exons.
CCCACCGGACUUGUCCUCGGGGAGUUCGGGCCUACCCUGUCCUGCCGUUGGCUGGGGUGACCACCUCAUCCCCAGGCAAGCCCUCCCUGUCCACCCUCGGCCGCAGAGCUGCCCCUCCCCGCUGGGCUCCGGGCGCCCCCGCUCCAUCCCGCUCCAGAGUCCCAGCUGCCCUCGGGGAACGUGGGAGGAGCGGAGGAAGCUCCUCUGGGCUGUCACGGAGCCUUCCCCGUCUUUUCCUCAAACGUCUGCCCGCUGAGCACGAAGUAGAUGGCUGCCGUUGAGGAAUCCUUCCUCCCCCGUCUCAUUCUGAUGGCUCAGGAGGUGGCCGCGGGACCAUGAGACCCUCUUUGCUACACAGGCCCACAGCCAGUCGAGUGCUUGCAGCAGCCCGCACCUUGGGGACGCUGUCUGUGGCCAGCAAGGCCCCCGACCGUCUUUAUCAGGACCCAGAGGGUUGGCUCCUUACCUUCCUCCGCCCCUCAGCUGCCUCCAGCCGCUUCUGCAGCUCCUCCAGGGAGGCGUCCUUCCUCUUGGGGGGGGAGGAGAGCAUGGGACUCUCCGGGGAAAGGUCGGAAGGGGAUUUGAGGAUGACCUCAAAGCUCUGGCCGGAGGCCCUCUUGUCCAGCUGCUUCACCUCCAUGUCUGCAGGGCAAGAGCAGACGGGGGCUUCAGGAGGGCUGCUCAAGGAGGGGGCAAGCCGAGCACACACCCAAGUCAAGGUCUGAGAGGAGGGCUGGGACUCCCAGGACCGGCCCCUCCCCACAGGGACCUCUCUCCGGAAGGCAGCCAAGCGGGGGUGCACAGACGCCACGGGAGGGGGUAGCGAGGUCAGGGCAGCAGCCGGGCACACUCACCCCCAUACUGGUAGACGGUGUUGGGGUGCGGCUGUGAGUAGAAGCAGGAGCAGAGGAGUGACAGCACCGACAGCUCCUUCAUCUUCUUGUAGGCUGUGGGCGUGAGGCCGGCCUGAGCAGGCGCCGUCCCAUUGCACCUCCAGCCCCACCUCCCUGGAUGCCCAGGCCUCCCUGCCUCUGUCCCCGUUGCUGCCCCCUUGCGCCUGUCUGGGAGCCUGUUUACCUUGUUCUUUUGUGUCCCACAUCUCUGACUCUCUCCGUCCCUCCCUCCCUCCCAGAUGUUGGCUGUCUUUCCCUGGGCACGCCUCCCUGUGGGUGUCCUGCAUUGGUCUUUCUGUUCCUGUCUCUGAGUCCCUGCCCCCCUCGCUCUGUCUGUCUCUGCCCCUCUCUCCCUCCUUUUCUCUCUCUUGGCAUUUCUGUCUGUGUCUCCGUUCAUCCUUCUGUCUUUCUGGCUCUCCAUCUGUCACUACCUCUCUUUAUAUCUUUACGUCUCCAUGAUUCUUUGUCACUGUGUAUCUUCCCGACUCUCCCUUCCCCCUGCCCCUCCGCGUACUUCUCCUUCCUCCCCUUUCGCUCUCGUGGACACUUGCCCGGUUGGUGGAGAGGUUAACCACCACACUGGUGACUGGGCCAGCACAAAUGGAGAGCUUCUGCAGGCAGCACUUUCUUGGCUGUGCACUUAGGUGAAGCCCUCAGACCCUCCUGUCUGCCCCCCAGCCCACCCCCCAUUUACCCUGUAGUGCGCCCACCGUGGGAUGAAAUCUGGUUCUCACCAGACACGCACUGGCGGCUCAUCAAAAGCCAAAGGGACGGGAGCUGUCCGUUCAGCACCACAGCCCGCCCUCUGGCCUUGCAGGGUGAGUGCCCACAGCCAGUGUCCACACUACCCAACCAGAAAAGGAGCAAGCCAGGCCCCAAAGUAGACACAUGGGUCUGAUGUCUCACUGGCUCUCAAGAAUCCUGUAUGCCCAAUACUGUCACCCCCACUCCACCAAGAGGACACUGGGCCCAGGUAGCUGGGUGACUUGUUCAAAGCUCCUCCAGGGCAACCCCAGGUGGUCUGUGUUCUUUCCACCACUGCAGUAGGUCCCAGACUUGGGGGCUCAGACCCAUGCACCUGCCUCCCUGGCUGGAGAAGCUAGUAUAGGUCUCUAGAGAGAUACUCCACGGAGAGCGACUCUGGCUUCCAUGAAAGAGCAUGCAUAGUUACCCACAGCAUUCUUCCAAGGGGCAGACAGGUUGGACAAGAAACUCUCUGAUGAAAUUUCACUCAAGAUAAUGUUUUUAAAUUGAUUUCACGUAAAACUGGGGAAAGUGCUUGUGUAGAAACAGUACACAGGACAGAAGUGACUAGGCCCUGUCUGAGAGAACAGCUUGCUGUGAGCGGGGUCCUCCAACAACCAAUGCAGAGAAUGAUGUUAUUUGAUCUAAGUGUCCUGAUGACCCAGACUCUUCCGGAGAGAGCCCGAGAAGUUGUGACGGGAGCACAGAGGAAUCCUGAGCAAGAAGCAGGGAGAGCCUUUGGGGUCUUGGAGGAGACGCAGGGCGAAGACACAUGACUUGGUCAUUGGCUCAGGAGUGUGGGAGGGAGGGCCAGGUAGGGGUGGGCCUCAAAGGGGAUUUUGGCCUGACUUGUCGAUUUUGCUUUUUCACAAGCAGAAUCUACUCGCGUAUUACGUAUGUCAUUAAAAGUUAACUUUAGAAAGGAGGCUGAGGGGUACCUCCCAGGAUGUGUGCUUGGGAGUUAGAGGAGGCAGGACCAGGCAGAGCGGCUCUCCAGGAACAGCAGAGCAGGAGAUAUUUGGACUCUUGCAGAGGCUGGGGAGGUAGCCAGGCCUGUGCUCAGAAGGGAAGGUGGGGCAGGGAGUGAGAGGGAGUCUGGUCAGGGGCCUAGCUGGGUCCUGGGAGAGGCCAGGGAGGAGGGGCCUCAGUCUAACCCUGCCAGCACCCACCACUCUGGCAAUAGACACCAGCCCCCUACCCUGACCUUUCAGAGAGUCCUUUCUCAGCCCCUGUUAAAACCUCUGAAAGAGUUUACCUUACAGGCCAGGAACCUGGGGCCUCACAGCUGCUCAAGGCCCUCUCUGCCUCAAGCCUGAGAUUUUCCCAGGAAAAGGGUUGCAAAUUAAUAACAGAGGAAUUUUACAGACAAAUGCCAGGGGCUCCCUUCCAGGCAGCUGUCACCUCAGCCUGGAGGGGGGCUGGUGGCAAUUCAGGGGCAGGAGGGGGAGCUUGGGCAGGUGUGAGUGUAGGCAGGUGAGAGGGGAGAGGGCUGGGGGCUCAAGACUGAGGUCAGAGUCUCCGAGGUCAUGGCUCUGCCCAGGGGACAAGGGUCCAACUGGGAAGUGAAGGACUAUGUCCCGCGGCUGCAAACAGGGAUGCAGCUUGGCGUCUGGUGGUCGUGGAGAUCCCCUGGGUUGGUGGCCUAUGAGGACCUUCCUUCUCAGAAGACCCUUCCUCAAGAAGCCCAGUGGGAAGGGGCAACUCCCCAGGAGGGGGCUUGGGAGUGAGGCCUGCGCUGUCGUCUGGUUGCAAGUCAGAGGGGACGGCAUGGUGGGUGGGGAACCGGCAAGUUUGGAGACAGUGAGCAGGGGGCAGCCUGCACCGGGGUUGGAGAUCAGGGCUGGGCCCAGCCACAUGCAAGACGGGAGGGUACGCCUGUAUUUUCAGAGCCGGAGGGGCUUAAAGUUCCUCUCAUUGCAGAGCGAAGAGGUGGAGGCCCAGACCUCUCCACAGACAUAGCUCCAGCCAGGAAGUGGGGCCUCGAGGCACGCCCUCCCUUUUCUCUCCUCACCAGGACCCUCUCUUCCGUCCCCAUCACUGACUUAAGAAAGUCAUUAAAAACAAAUCUCCACCGUGAA